AAAUUGUGAAGGCUGGCAGCUGGCUUCUUGAAAGUUUGAUAUAAUGGAAUAUUCAAGAUUCAACAAAGAAGGAAAAGCACCUACUUCAUUUAUGAAAUUAAUUUCUGUAUAUCUGCUUAUAUAGAACUGUUUUCUAGUUUAUACUAUUUGAUAUCACCCAGAAAUUCACCUUUUUAGUUUGUUAUUGCUGCACUUAUUUUGUGCCAUUGUAAAAUUUUCAAAAAUAGAAUUUAUUUUUACUGCCACUGCUACCAG
RNAcentral lists this unclassified non-coding RNA (255 nucleotides) under Hevea brasiliensis (rubber tree). Lineage: Eukaryota; Viridiplantae; Streptophyta; Magnoliopsida; Malpighiales; Euphorbiaceae. The record is from RNAcentral.